UGGAUUGAAGCCAGUUGUGUUGGGCGUUUAGCUGUUAACUAAAUUUUUCGCGGGUUAAAGUCCUGUCAGUCCAG
RNAcentral lists this transfer RNA (74 nucleotides) under Rubrisciurus rubriventer (Sulawesi giant squirrel). RNAcentral's name for it is "tRNA-Asn". It matches the Rfam family "tRNA". From Rfam's summary of the family: Transfer RNA (tRNA) molecules are approximately 80 nucleotides in length. Their secondary structure includes four short double-helical elements and three loops (D, anti-codon, and T loops). Further hydrogen bonds mediate the characteristic L-shaped molecular structure. tRNAs have two regions of fundamental functional importance: the anti-codon, which is responsible for specific mRNA codon recognition, and the 3' end, to which the tRNAs corresponding amino acid is attached (by aminoacyl-tRNA synthetases). tRNAs cope with the degeneracy of the genetic code in two manners: having more than one tRNA (with a specific anti-codon) for a particular amino acid; and 'wobble' base-pairing, i.e. permitting non-standard base-pairing at the 3rd anti-codon position. Lineage: Eukaryota; Metazoa; Chordata; Mammalia; Rodentia; Sciuridae. The record is from RNAcentral.